AAGGAGUCGUCUUCGUAUGCGAGUGUUUGGGUGUCAAACCCCUACGCGUACUGAAAGUGAACGUAGGUGAGAGCUUCGGCGCAUCACUGACCGAUCCUGAUGUUCUUGGAUGGAUUUGAGUAAGAGCAUACGGGGCCGGACCCGAAAGAAGGUGAACUAUGCCUGUAUAGGGUGAAGCCAGAGGAAACUCUGGUGGAGGCUCGCAGCGGUUCUGACGUGCAAAUCGAUCGUCAAAUAUGGGCAUGGGGGCGAAAGACUAAUCGAACCAUCUAGUAGCUGGUUUCCG
This 286-nucleotide unclassified non-coding RNA is filed under the name uncultured fungus. RNAcentral describes it as "partial contains 5.8S rRNA, ITS2 and 28S rRNA". It matches the Rfam family "Eukaryotic large subunit ribosomal RNA", at positions 668 to 960 of the family's 3401-position model. The record is from RNAcentral. Lineage: Eukaryota; Fungi.